Long non-coding RNA from Homo sapiens (human), 2989 nucleotides. RefSeq lists it as uncharacterized. Lineage: Eukaryota; Metazoa; Chordata; Mammalia; Primates; Hominidae. The transcript is spliced from 2 exons. The record is from RefSeq and is a predicted model, not a curated record.
GUGCUCUCGUGGCUGGACUGCUGGUGAGUGUACCCUUUCUGCAGAAAGUAAACUAGCCUUGCUGAGAGAUCCUUUGUCUCGGUGUUGAUUUCUUUACAACAUCAAAUUCCCGUGCCCAUCAAUUUUGUGGCUCGUAUGGGGACACUGUUUCCCCUCCAGUCCUUGGCCCUCUCUUGUGGGGAGGCACCCAGCUGCCCUGCUGCAGCAGCCCCAGGGAGAUAGCCAGGGCUCACCCAGUAAGAGGAAUACAUCUGGAUUCUCAGCAAUGCAGGGGACAAGGAGACUUUUAAAACCGCGGGACCAGGAGACCUCGUGCAUGAGCCAAGGUCUUUUAGCACAAGCACCACCCUUGGAAUUCCCAGUACAAUCGCAUCAGCCUGGAGACCACGUCUUCAUAAAGGGAUGGAAGGAAGGAAGGCUCGAGCCAGCCUGGGAAGGAUCCUACCUCAUGUUAUUGACCAUCGAAACCGCAGUUCGCACUGCCGAGAAGGGGUGGACCCAUCACACUCGAGUCAAGAAAGCGUCGACACCCUCAGAAUCCUGGAUUGUGGUCCCCGAGCCAAGUCCCACCAAGUUAAAAUUAAGAAGAACCUAACAUACCUUUAUUUCUAUUUUUCUUUCUUUCCUCUCACUAUCUCUCAUUUUAUUAUUAACAUAACUAGAUUGGAAUCAUCUCAAGUGAUAUCCUUUGAUGCUUGUCUAGUGAUGCCAUGCGGGGACCUACAUAACCAAAGGCAACUAGCCUCUUCAGAAAAAUAUCUAUGUCCUGGUCCCCCAUUUAAUCUAACAGUCUCUCACUCCCAUAGAUGCGAUCAAUUAAAGCCAAGACGCCGCUUCUUCAUUCCCACCGAAUGGCAGCCUUGCAGCAGUUGGAAUAAUGUUCUAUGGACCACUCAAUACAGAGGCUGGACCUCUACAGGAGGGGUUUGUACUGAGCUUAGGCCUAAUCUUUAUUUCACAUAAGGAAGCAUUUCCCCUGAUUGUAAGCUUUAUCAGUGUAACCCUAUUCUUAAUUCUAAUAUAGAUAAUCAGCCAGCUAUCGGCCAUCUCUACGGUAUUGGGCAAAUGUCAAAGGGGAAGGAUCCGAUAGGGAGGUUUGAAAUACGCCUUCUCCCUCUUCCUCCUUUCCCUUCUCCAACCCCAGUAGUCUCGGCUUUAAAUCAAACUUCUAUUAUCCCAAUUAGUCCUUUACUAAAUGAUAAGACAAAAGCAUCAGUAGUACAAGUAAAUGACUUAAAGCAGACUUAAGCUAUUGAGACAGGGUAUCAAGAUGCAAAUGCCUGGUUAAAACGGAUUAAAUAUUCUGUCCACACUCUAAACAAAAGCGACUGUUACACUUGUGCACACGGUAAGCCAGAGGCCCAGAUUGUCCCCUUUCCACUUAAGUGUUCUUCACAUGCGACGGAUUUGGAGUGUGUGGUAGCUCUCUUUCAAGAUUCUACAGCCUGGAAUGAUGAAUCUUGCCAAGCUCUCUCUCUGCUAUAUCCUGAAGUACAACACCCUGAGGGUCAGCCCCCGAGGGCCAUUCAGCCUCCAUCUUCCAGGGCAGAGUUUGCCUCAUGCCUCUCACAGCAGGAGGAGAACUCAAUAUUCCUUGGAAAUUUCACAGGAUGCAGGGAGGUAAGGCACUUCUAAGAGCUAACCCAUGAGGCCUCCAUCAGCCAUCCUUGAGUGGGACAUAUGGUGGUAAUGUCGGGGGGCACUUACUGGAUACUCUGCCAUAUAACUGGAAUGGUACUUGCACUCUAGUCCAAUUGGCUAUCCCUUUUACCCUGGCAUUUCAUCAACAAAAAUAGGAAACACCCCACCACCAACACACUACAAGAGCUCCUUACAGAUCCUUUGAUCCUCAUAUCCACCUAGAUGCGACAGGUGUUGCAAGGGGGGUUCCUGAUGAAUUUAAGGCCAGAGAUCAGAUAGCUGCUAGACUCGAGUCAACGUUAUUUUGGUGGGUCACGAUAAACAAAAAUGUAGACUGGAUAAACUAUAUUUACUAUAAUCAACAAUGAUUAGUUAACUACACCAAAGUGGUCAGGGGAAUUGCAGAUGAAUUAAGAUCUACUAGCCAAAUGACACAGGAUAACAGAAUCACUCUUGAUAUGAUGCUAGCUGAGAAAGGUGGUGUUUGCGUAAUGAUUAAGACCCAAUACUGCACGUUCAUUCCAAAUAACACAGCCCCAGAUAGAAGUAUAACAAGAGCCCUAGAGGGACUUACUGCUUUAUCAAACAAGCUAGCUAAGAACUCUGGCAUAAAUAACCCAUCUCUAGCUGGCUAGAAAACUGAUUUGGAAAUUGGAAAGAUAUCUUAACCUCAAUCCUCACUUCCUCUAUAACUGUGUUAGGUAUACUUCUACUUAUUGGAUGUUGUGUCAUACCCUGUAUUCGACGGCUUGUACAAAGGCUCAUCAGUACAACCCUUAAUAAUCUAUCCUCUGCCUCUCCCCCACCCUAUUCGGAAAGGUUGCUUUUAUUAGGGGAUCAAGCCAAACAACAAAGCAGAGACUUGCUAGACAAGUUUGAAGAAUUAUAAAACAAAAAGAGGAGGGAAUUGAAAGGAAUGGAGAAGUUCCUCAAAGUUUCUUAAAUCCAUACAGAUUUAUCAUUCCCCGGUUAAAUGUUAGGAUGUGUGUAUUCCAAGGCUGCUCCAGCUUGUUCCAGUAGGUUGAGAUAAGGCUAAAUGAGUCCCAGAUCAGGAUACAUGCCAUUCCUUAUUUGGGAACCCCUCUGACCUCUCAUCACUAACUUCCUCUUUUCUUUGUCCUUUUUCCCUUCGUCCUAUUUAGGAAAGUUUUAAAUUAUUAACCAAUCCAGUUAAGUUUAGAGUGUGAGGUCCCAUCCCAGCCAAUGGGAACGGGACACAGCCAUAGGGGAUUGCAUCAGGAUGUAAAGGUUAUAAAUGUCCCCGUCUCCUUUGUUUGGUGUGCUCUCGUGGCUGGACUGCUGGUGAGUGCACCCUUUUGGCAGAAAGUAAACCAGCCUUGCUAAGAGA